AGGUUAUUGAUAUAAGGAAAAUCUUGUGAGACGUGCGCGCAUGCGUAUGAUAUAAACAACAAACGCGAUGUGCCGGGAGCUCUGUGUGAUAUCAACACAGUGUGCUGUCAGUUGAAAGAUGGAAGUCCCAAGACUGAAGAAACGACAUUGGCGCUUCUGUGAACAUUGCAACACUGAACUGUGUCAUACACAGUAUUUUGACCACAGAAAGCGCUAUUUCAAAAAUGGAGUUUGGGAGAAAAAAUCCAAAAGGACUACGUCAGGUCAGAUAACGUACAGAGCCUGCUGCUAUCCAGUCAUGAACCCGCUGUGAGUGAUGUCCUGUCAUGUGUAAAGACCCGGAGGAUAACUUUACUGGAGUUAGAGAGAUUGGUGAAAGUGAAAAGCAAUCCGAGGACCCAGAAAAAAAGUGAUUGAAGAAUUUGAAGAAAUGCACCCAGCGAAUUGCAGUUAAGACAACGACGAAACAGCAGAUGACCAAAGCAUUCAUCUUUUCCUGGACAUCUCCUGUUGUGUGGAUGACUAUGUGGAUGAAGAGGGGGAAAUCCUUGCUGAGGAGCAGAGUGAAGCCUAUCCUCACAUACAAGAUGGGGAGGAGCAUGGAAGUGAUCAGUCCAGAAGUGAAAAAAACAGAACACUUGUUGAUUAAACUUUUGGCCAUGAUGAAAUUGACUGGUAUCCUCCGUGACGACUUCUUACAGUAUGUGGUUUGUCCAAAAUGUAUGACAGUGUACAUGCUUACUGAAACCUAUGAGCGCCGACGGUAUGGUACAAAGGUUUGCAGGACUUGUGGUCACAUCCCGUUCUACAAUCACCCACAGCAGAGGUCUGCAUUAAGGAAGAAAUAUGGCUCUGCCUUGCUAAGAUAGGCUACAUAUUUGAGCAGUGAAGAGAAUGUCCAUCCAAUACGUUCUUACUGAUACAAGAGUGUUGUGCAGUCUCUGGGAGGACUUGUUAAAAGACUUGGAUUUGAAGAGAAAUUAGAUGAAAGGCGAAAGCGGGAACUGCCAAAGGGUGUGUUAGGAGAUGUAAAUGAUGGACAAGUAUGGCAGGAUUACCAGUAUGUGAAUUCAAUAAACUGUAGUCAUGCCACUAUGCACAGUAUUUGAGCUGUGAUGUAAUUGCACAAGUUACCUUGCUUCAUUCCCAUCCGGACAGACAUUUUGUUGUUUGACAUGUUGUUUGAUGGCAUUUGCAUAGAAUGCACAAAUUGAGCCUGAUUAAAACUCUGUUAAAACAAUUAAAAUUGUUGAAAUAAAUAGUUUGGUGUAUCUUUUUUACCUAACAUUGGUUAUUGCUAAUUACAUACAGAGUAAUUAAUAUACACUGUUAGCCUGGAGAAAUUGAAUCUACUUAAAGGGAUAGUUUAAAAAUUAUUAGGAAAAAAUAUUUUGAAAGUAUUGUGAUAAAUGGUGAAGAAAAGUUUGAUAAAUGAUUGUCAUUAAACUUAAGGUUGAU
This is a non-coding RNA of Misgurnus anguillicaudatus (oriental weatherfish), 1458 nucleotides long. Lineage: Eukaryota; Metazoa; Chordata; Actinopteri; Cypriniformes; Cobitidae. The record is from RefSeq and is a predicted model, not a curated record.